AGAAUGACCUCGCAAUAUUUUGUUAUGUUUAAGGUGGCGAGUGGGCAGAAGCGUUAGCACGCCGGGCGAAAUGCCUAACAGUAUUUCGUCUGCCGUUACGUUCUGAGUUCAAAUUUCGCCGAGGUCGACUUUGCCUUUCAUCCUUUCGGGGUCGAUAAAUUAAGUAC
Long non-coding RNA from Octopus sinensis (East Asian common octopus), 167 nucleotides. RefSeq lists it as uncharacterized. NCBI's taxonomy places the organism in Eukaryota, Metazoa, Mollusca, Cephalopoda, Octopoda, Octopodidae. The transcript has 3 exons. The record is from RefSeq and is a predicted model, not a curated record.